RNAcentral lists this ribosomal RNA (499 nucleotides) under uncultured bacterium. Its description in RNAcentral is "bacterial SSU rRNA". It matches the Rfam family "Bacterial small subunit ribosomal RNA", at positions 28 to 516 of the family's 1533-position model. The record is from RNAcentral.
GACGAACGCCGGCGGCGUGGAUUAGGCAUGCAAGUCGAACGGUAGGAUACCUUCGGGUAUCUGAGAGUGGCGAACGGGUGAGUAACACGUAGGUGAUCUACCCUCAAGAUUGGGACAACCCAGGGAAACUUGGGCUAAUACCGGAUGAAAGCAGCAGUGAUGUUGUUUGAAAGGUGGCGUAAGCUGCCGUUUGGGGAUGAGCCUGCGCUCUAUUAGUUAGUUGGCGGGGUAAAGGCCCACCAAGGCGAUGAUAGAUAGGCGGCCUUAACGGGUGGUCGCCCACACUGGGAUUGAGAUACGGCCCUAGACUCCUACGGGAGGCAGCAGUCGAGAAUAGUCUACAAUGGCCGAAAGGCUGAUAGUGCGACGCCGCGUGAACCGAAGAAGCCCUUCGGGGUGUAAAGGUUCUUUUAUAUGUGAGCAGUGCUUUCAUGUGAACAGCAUGGGGAGAGAGAUAUUAGCAUAUGAAUAAGCAACGGCUAACUCCGUGCCAGCAGCC